This 253-nucleotide ribosomal RNA is filed under the name uncultured bacterium. Its description in RNAcentral is "partial 16S ribosomal RNA". It matches the Rfam family "Bacterial small subunit ribosomal RNA", at positions 524 to 776 of the family's 1533-position model. The record is from RNAcentral.
UACGUAGGGAGCAAGCGUUGUCCGGAAUUAUUGGGCGUAAAGCGCGCGCAGGCGGUUUCUUAAGUCUGAUGUGAAAGCCCACGGCUCAACCGUGGAGGGUCAUUGGAAACUGGGGAACUUGAGUGCAGAAGAGAAAAGCGGAAUUCCACGUGUAGCGGUGAAAUGCGUAGAGAUGUGGAGGAACACCAGUGGCGAAGGCGGCUUUUUGGUCUGUAACUGACGCUGAGGCGCGAAAGCGUGGGGAGCAAACAGG